RNAcentral lists this ribosomal RNA (576 nucleotides) under Epinephelus amblycephalus. RNAcentral's name for it is "partial 16S ribosomal RNA". It matches the Rfam family "Bacterial large subunit ribosomal RNA", at positions 1816 to 2597 of the family's 2925-position model. Lineage: Eukaryota; Metazoa; Chordata; Actinopteri; Perciformes; Serranidae. The record is from RNAcentral.
CGCCUCUUGCUAAACCAAAAGUAUAAGAGGUCCCGCCUGCCCUGUGACUAUAUGUUUAACGGCCGCGGUAUUUUGACCGUGCGAAGGUAGCGCAAUCACUUGUCUCUUAAAUGGGGACCUGUAUGAAUGGCAUAACGAGGGCUUAACUGUCUCCUCUUUCAAGUCAAUGAAAUUGAUCUCCCCGUGCAGAAGCGGGGAUAAGUACAUAAGACGAGAAGACCCUAUGGAGCUUUAGACACUAAAGCAGAUCAUUAUUAAUACCCUAAACACAGGACACGAAUAAACUGAACCCUGCCCUAAUGUCUUAGGUUGGGGCGACCGCGGAGUAAUAAAAAACCCCCGCAAGGACCGAAUGUACUACAUUCACAACCAAGAGCGACAGCUCUAAUUAACAGAUACUUCUGACCAAUAAGAUCCGGCAACGCCGAUCAAUGGACCAAGUUACCCUAGGGAUAACAGCGCAAUCUCCUCUUAGAGCCCGUAUCAACGAGGGGGUUUACGACCUCGAUGUUGGAUCAGGACAUCCUAAUGGUGCAGCCGCUAUUAAGGGUUCGUUUGUUCAACGAUUAAAGUCCU